GGAGAGGUGUCCGAGUGGCUUAAGGAGCACGCCUGGAAAGCUUGUGUACAUUUUAUGUACCGAGGGUUCGAAUCCCUCUCUCUCCU
Molecule: transfer RNA, 86 nt
Filed under: Enterobacteriaceae bacterium
Lineage: Bacteria; Pseudomonadati; Pseudomonadota; Gammaproteobacteria; Enterobacterales; Enterobacteriaceae
Also listed under: 1 other name
Description: tRNA-Ser
Rfam family: tRNA
About the family: Transfer RNA (tRNA) molecules are approximately 80 nucleotides in length. Their secondary structure includes four short double-helical elements and three loops (D, anti-codon, and T loops). Further hydrogen bonds mediate the characteristic L-shaped molecular structure. tRNAs have two regions of fundamental functional importance: the anti-codon, which is responsible for specific mRNA codon recognition, and the 3' end, to which the tRNAs corresponding amino acid is attached (by aminoacyl-tRNA synthetases). tRNAs cope with the degeneracy of the genetic code in two manners: having more than one tRNA (with a specific anti-codon) for a particular amino acid; and 'wobble' base-pairing, i.e. permitting non-standard base-pairing at the 3rd anti-codon position.
Source: RNAcentral